RNAcentral lists this small RNA (77 nucleotides) under Xanthomonas hortorum pv. pelargonii. RNAcentral's name for it is "sX9 sRNA". It matches the Rfam family "Xanthomonas sRNA sX9". The record is from RNAcentral. Lineage: Bacteria; Pseudomonadati; Pseudomonadota; Gammaproteobacteria; Lysobacterales; Lysobacteraceae.
AUGUACGACGCGUACACCCCCGCUUCCUCCACAUCGUCCGCACCCGCCUGACAGCCACGCGCUAAGUCUUGUCAGCC